Oncorhynchus keta (chum salmon) is the source of this 4316-nucleotide long non-coding RNA. RefSeq lists it as uncharacterized. Lineage: Eukaryota; Metazoa; Chordata; Actinopteri; Salmoniformes; Salmonidae. The record is from RefSeq and is a predicted model, not a curated record. The transcript has 4 exons.
CCCAAAACACAUGUAUAAAGUGCUAAACAUUAAUUUAGCUAGUUGUGCAAUAUAUUUUCUAGAUACAAUAAUCUUAAAUGUGUGCAUGUUUUUGUUGUUGUUGACAAAACAACAUCUGAUUCAAAGGGAGUGUGCCAGAUUUUAAAACACAGAGCACCCGUGUAUCCUCGGCUGAAGAAGGCAAUUGAGGAGAGCAGAAAGUUCUCCUUUUAACGAAUUUGCACCCCUACAUACUGUAUGAAGAACACUUAUCGGUUUCCGGGUCACGGACAGAGUAGAGGAGGACAAAAGAGUCGAGGAGAGGACAUACAUUUUAUAAUUGAGAAUCUCCCACUGUCAUGGAUCGAUUCGCAUCAUAGGUAGGCCUACUGUACUUGCUGGCCGGCCAGCAUUUUUUGUUAUUACAUGAUGACCACUUCUAUGAAGUCAACCAGACAUGCAACAAGAAUCUGGGUUAGACUCGCAGUGUCUUGUAAAUCAUUUCUCUCGACAGGUAAGUAGCUACUACAACUAGCAAGUAAGUAGAUGUCGUUUUCAAAUAGCUAGUUACAUCCAAAUACUACUAUAAAGAUUACAGCGAAGCCUGCUUCCAGGCUAAACCUUGAAUGGUCGCUAGCUAACUAGCAUCAUUAGUUUUAAUUUGUCUGAUGGAAUGUUUUGAAUAAUCCCAGCAUAGUUGACUGUUAUUUAGUUUCAAUCACUCAAGGUGAGAUGGCUAGCUAGCAAAUGGAGAAGGGGUGCAAUUAGGUCUUUCUAUAAACUAGGGUAGGCCAAUCAGUGAGGAUUUCCUACACUGGACAAUUUGUUACAGCUGUUAAAUCAUCGACAAUAAUUAGCAUAUUUCCACAUGUCAUUGCAUUAAGGAGGCAUAGCUACUGUACAUUCAAUCAAAUUCACGAGUUUGUCCAAAAUCAUGUGACAUAAAACAUUACUUUUCGGUUUUGCAUUUAUGGCAGUGUACAUUGUCAUUAUCAUAUAUUAAGCAUUAAUCAGUUAAACUUGACAUUGAACAUAUAAGAAUCCUGGAUUGAGUUGUUGGACAUUUCGUGUUUUAUGUUAUGCUGGGUGAGUUUUCAUGGACACACAAAUCCAAAAUAAUAUAUGCGAUUGCGAAAUCAAAUGCCUCUAACCAAGAGUCACCUUAACUUGAUACUUAUAACCAUAUCCCUUGCGAUUUGAGGUUGAUUAUUUGUUGUCUAUUUGAUUUACAGUACUUAGCUUUAACAAAGAAAGCAUUGAGGUAAUGUGUUCGGAUUGGACACGGAGUCAACUGUGCUCAAGUGUGUAACUCGACUGGGAUAGACUAUUGUUCAACACCCAACUCUAUUCCUAUUAAUUAUUCUGUAUAUAAUGACACAUUCUAUAGCUUAUUUGGCUUAUUCACAAUAUGAUCUGGUCAUGAAAUAACAUGACAAAUACAUUUUAUUUUCCAUGUUACACCUGCCAUUUAAAUAAUACAGGGGGCUUGAAGCAGCCUAGCUCAGAAAUUAAAGUAUUGGUAUAGGCCUACCUUGAAAAUAAGACAUUUCCUCAAUUUGGUGUUUGAAAAGUCCUUAUAAUUAUUGUUGCCAAUUUAGAAGUUAUCAUGCUCCCUUAUAUCCGGGGCGGCAGGGUAGCCUAGUUGUUAGAGUGUUGGACUAGUAACCGAAAGGUUGCAAGUUCGAAUCCCCAAGCUGACAAGGUACAAAUCUGUCAUUCUGCCUCUGAACAGGCAGUUAACCCACUGUUCCUAGGCCAUCAUUGAAAAUAAGAAUUUGUUCUUAACUGACUUGCCUAGUAAAAUAAAGGUAAAAUAAAAAUGUUGUUUUAUGUCCCUUCAAUUGUGCGGUUAUUAUGAGGACGACAUCAGUUUGGCUUUCCACACAAAUCCUUCCAUCUAAAAAUGAACCUGUUUUUUGGUCACUUUCUCAAUAUAAAAACAGCGAUGGUCAGAUUAAUGCUAUUGCCGCUAUUCAUGACUUUAUUACAGUACGUAUGCCUGUAUUGGCCUCUUAGGCUACAGAAAAAUCACUAUGGGGGCUAUUUAGUCAGGCAACGUCCACAUUAUUCUCACAUAUUUUAGAAUAUAAUAGUUUGGAUAUCAAUGCAUUGGCAAGGCCUAAAAAAAUGCAGUAUUCUUAAUGGUAAUGUCCUACUUUUGGGAAGGAAGGUGGAGUUCUACAUUAGGCCCUAUCUGUACAAUUAGAAACUGGGUGGUUCGAGCCCUGAAUGCUGAUUGGAUGACAGCCAUGGUAUAUCAGACCGUACACCACUGUAUGACUGUCACACCCUGAUUGGUUUUACUUGUCUUUGUGCUUGUCUCCACCCUCCUCCAGGUGUCAUCCAUCUUCCCAAUUAUCCCCUGAGCCUUUAUACCUGUGUUCUCUGUUUGUCUGUGUGUUGCCCGUUUGUCUUGUCUUACCAGUGUGCUUUCCCAUUUCUCAAGUGUUUGUUUCCUAGCUUUCCUGGUUCUGACCAUUCUGCCUGCCCUGACCCAGAGCCUGUCUGCCAUCCUGUACCUGCCUGACUCUGACCUGAUUACAAACCUUUGCCUGUCCUCGACCUGCCCUUUUCCCCGUGUUAUAACAAGUUAUUGAUAACUGUACUAUCUGCCUCCUGUGUCUGCAACUAGGUCAUAUCCUGAGUCCUGAUGAUGACAAAACAUUGUUUUACUGCUCUAAUUACGUUGGUAACCAGUUUAUAAUAGCAAUAAGGCACCUCUGGGGUUUGUGAUAUAUGGCAAAUAUACCACGACUAAGGGCUGUGUCCAGGCACUCCGCGUUGCACCUAAGAACAGCCCUUAGCCGUCGUAUAUUGGCCAUAUACCACACCUCCACCUGCCUUAUUGCUUAAUUAUGUCAUUUAUACAACUGUAUAACAGAGGUCCUUAAAUUAAAGUAAAUUUAAGUGCUUGAGAAAGUCCCUGAAAGUCCUUGAAUUUGACUUGCCAUCUCUGUGCAUUCAAAUUUCCAUAGCUAAAUUGCAAUUGUGUUCGUUGUCUGUAGUUUAUGCCUGCAAAUACCAUAACCCCACCUGUUGAAUUCAGAGCAUGUAACAAAUAAAAUGUUAUUUGAUCAUGGGACACUGUUCACAUCAGCAAACCCCUCGCCCACUGUCUGCCAUCUCCCCAGUACAGUUGAAACUGGGAUUCAUCUGUGAAGAGCACACUUCUCCAGCGUGCCAUUGAAGGGAUUUGUGAAGAGACAGGCUAUUUUUGCAUGCAACACACUCUGCCUUACCUGCACCAACCAUUGCCAUGGCGGAUGUCUUUGAGCUUUACACAAAAAGGAAUUUCCACUGUGCCUGGCAAGUUUAAGUGCCAGCUGAAGUCUCCUAUUUUCCCAUCUACCCCUCAGUCGUGUCUUCCUGACAGCUGAACAUUGAUGACUGAUUUCCUCUGUCCUUUUUGUUUUUGCAGGGCAAAGACCGACAAAACAUUAAAAACCAAUACAAUCACAACUUCCAUGGCUGUUACUGUACCUGUGACAGACCUUACCCAGACACUGAUGAUCAUGUGUGGGUUUCAUUCCAGCAUUACGCACCAUUCACUUUCUCCAUCACUAUUGAUGAAUGAAUGUUUUAUUUCUGUCUGUAUCAUACACUUUGUUGAUAUGCUAGAUCUCUAGGAUUCUGUUAGUGUGUUGUUGAAAGAAUGAUGGCUAUGUCAUUCUAAAUCACAAAACACUGUCAUGGUCUUAUAUUUCCGAUAACGUUAAUGAGGAUAUGAUUCCGUGUAUGAUUCCGUGUAUCACCUCUGAGGACUGGUAUCAUCCCAGGGUAUGUAUCGGGCCAACAUCAUGAUUGUUGUCAGUUCUCUUUCUAAACUAUGUUAGCAGGGAUAAUGGUUUUGGUACAAAGACCGGAAUGAUUACUCCUCCUUGACCAUGUUGACUUCUCUGUGACAGCACUUGGGUUGUAUGGUGGAAAAGACUGAGGAGAUGGAGUGUGAGACCUGUAUUAGCAAAGCCCCCUUCCUUUGGACCUACUUCGCCCACUCAGCAAGUGUGUUAUUAUUCCUCCCACUGGCAGAGAGCGCUAGGGAUCCAGAGCUCUGGGCUUGGGUUACAAAAAACACCAACCAUAAAUGAGUACCGCUUUUUAAAUCUAUUGCCCCUAGCUAACUAAAGAUUGGAGAUAACGGUCCUGUUCAUUCAUUCAUUAAUUCGUUGAGAGAAUGCCAAAAGUGUGCAAAACUAUCAAGGGAAAGGGUGGCUACUUUGUUUAACACUUUUUUGGUUGCUACAUGAUUACAUAUUUGUUAUUUCAUAGUGUUGAUGUCUUCACUAUUACUCUACAAUGUAGAAAAUAGUACAAAUAAAGAAAAACCCUUGAAUGAG